This 439-nucleotide ribosomal RNA is filed under the name uncultured bacterium. RNAcentral describes it as "partial 16S ribosomal RNA". It matches the Rfam family "Bacterial small subunit ribosomal RNA", at positions 338 to 795 of the family's 1533-position model. The record is from RNAcentral.
CCUACGGGUGGCAGCAGUGGGGAAUAUUGCACAAUGGGGGAAACCCUGAUGCAGCGACGCCGCGUGAGUGAAGAAGUAUCUCGGUACGUAAAGCUCUAUCAGCAGGGAAGAUAAUGACGGUACCUGACCAAGAAGCCCCGGCUAACUACGUGCCAGCAGCCGCGGUAAUACGUAGGGGGCAAGCGUUAUCCGGAUUUAUUGGGUUUAAAGGGUGCGCAGGCGGCCUGUUAAGUCAGCGGUAAAAGCCCGGGGCUCAACCCCGGCGAGCCGUUGGAACUGGCGGGCUGGAGUUGGAGAGAAGGACGCGGAAUGCGCGGUGUAGCGGUGAAAUGCUUAGAUAUCGCGCAGAACCCCGAUUGCGAAGGCAGCGUACCGGCUCCACACUGACGCUGAGGCACGAAAGCGUGGGUAUCGAACAGGAUUAGAUACCCGAGUAGUC